This 74-nucleotide ribosomal RNA is filed under the name Vibrio sp. OPT24. Lineage: Bacteria; Pseudomonadati; Pseudomonadota; Gammaproteobacteria; Vibrionales; Vibrionaceae. The record is from RNAcentral.
CUUGGCGACCAUAGCAUUGUGGACCCACCUGAUUCCAUGCCGAACUCAGAAGUGAAACACAAUAGCGCCGAUGG